This 773-nucleotide ribosomal RNA is filed under the name uncultured Neocallimastigales. Its description in RNAcentral is "partial large subunit ribosomal RNA". It matches the Rfam family "Eukaryotic large subunit ribosomal RNA", at positions 23 to 634 of the family's 3401-position model. Lineage: Eukaryota; Fungi; Neocallimastigomycota; Neocallimastigomycetes; Neocallimastigales. The record is from RNAcentral.
ACACGCAUGACACACUGCAUAUCAAUAAGCGGAGGAAAAGAAACUAACUAGGAUUCCCUUAGUAACUGCGAGUGAAGCGGGAAGAGCUCAAAUUUGAAAUCUUCAAGGUUCUACCUUGACGAAUUGUAGUUUAUAGAAGUGUUUUCUGUUAGUAGAGUGGCAAAAGUUCUUUGGAAUAGGACAUCAUAGAGGGUGAGAAUCCCGUAUUUGGUCAUUCUUUCUAGCUUUGUGAUACACUUUCAACGAGUCGGAUUGUUUGGGAAUGCAGUCCAAAAUGGGUGGUAAAUUUCAUCUAAAGCUAAAUAUUGGCGAGAGACCGAUAGCGAACAAGUACCGUGAGGGAAAGAUGAAAAGAACUUUGAAAAGAGAGUUAAACAGUACGUGAAAUUGUCAAAAGGGAAGCGUUUGACACCAGUGUUGUUUUUCCGAAAAUCAAUUACGAAUGUUUUGUUUUUAAGAAGUUAUGACUUCAUCGGCUUGCUUCUUUCUUUACGAAACUUUCUUAAUGCACUUUUCGGUUAACAAGUCAACAUCAAUUUCUUUUGUUGUAAAAGGGUACGAGGAAGGUGGCUUUCUUUUCGGAGAAAGUGUUUAUAGCCUUGUACCUCUGCAAUCGGAGAGAUUGAGGUCUGCAGCGUAGAUCCUUCGGGGUUAGAUACAUUUGUGCUAAGUUAUAGCUUUUCAUAGACAACUUGUUGACUAUGUUAAGUCUUGUAGCUUACUCGCUUAUGCUAUUUUACCUACGCUUAGGAUGUUGAGUCGUAGAGCACGCA